Molecule: transfer RNA, 69 nt
Filed under: Hylodes regius
Lineage: Eukaryota; Metazoa; Chordata; Amphibia; Anura; Hylodidae
Description: tRNA-Val
Rfam family: tRNA
About the family: Transfer RNA (tRNA) molecules are approximately 80 nucleotides in length. Their secondary structure includes four short double-helical elements and three loops (D, anti-codon, and T loops). Further hydrogen bonds mediate the characteristic L-shaped molecular structure. tRNAs have two regions of fundamental functional importance: the anti-codon, which is responsible for specific mRNA codon recognition, and the 3' end, to which the tRNAs corresponding amino acid is attached (by aminoacyl-tRNA synthetases). tRNAs cope with the degeneracy of the genetic code in two manners: having more than one tRNA (with a specific anti-codon) for a particular amino acid; and 'wobble' base-pairing, i.e. permitting non-standard base-pairing at the 3rd anti-codon position.
Source: RNAcentral
CAAAAUAUAGCUUAACCAAAGCCCUUCGCUUACACCGAAGAACUAUCUGUUAAACUCAGAUUAUUUUGA